Phyllopteryx taeniolatus (common seadragon) is the source of this 3036-nucleotide long non-coding RNA. RefSeq lists it as uncharacterized. The record is from RefSeq and is a predicted model, not a curated record. The transcript is spliced from 5 exons. Lineage: Eukaryota; Metazoa; Chordata; Actinopteri; Syngnathiformes; Syngnathidae.
AGUGACGUCGAGUAACAUAGCAACGAACCAGUGACUUCCGGCUGACAAAAUGGCAGCCCGGUUAACAAACAAUUUUUUUGGUCGGUGAUGUGAUGACGACGUAUAGUCAGGCAUGCUCUCCAUAUGCAUAUACUAGACUUGAGCUAAAAGCUAAGUAAAAGUUGGACUCCAUCUUUGCCUGCUUCCUGGCAUUUGGGUCCACAAUGGUGACGCCUGUACACAAUGGAGCUACACAAGCCAUGGUCCGCAGAGAUCUUCCACAGUAUCAGAGAGAUCUCAUUCUUCGAAGGAAGGAAUUGCGUAUCCUCUGGCAAACUCAUGGAGGCCCGGUGCAGAGCAGGACACUGGACAGAAGCUCCAGCCACUGAAAAGGAGAUGGAGAGGACAACCUGGUGCCACAAAGAGAGAUAGAAGAGAGAGCUGGAAAGAGAGAAAAAGAGUCCAGUUAAGGUAUCCUCCUCCUCCUCUUCACUACAGACUCACACACAUCCCGCGAGGUGGACACGCUCAUGCACGACAUCAUCUUUAUUGUGGAGAGGCUCUAAGCUCCAGUCAGAUGCUCAGCCUGCCACAGAGAGAGAGCAAAAGAAUGGGAAGGCAAGCGCUGUGUCAUCCUACUUUAUCGUAUAGCCCCGCUGGCAGCUUGCUUGCUCACAAGAUGACAGUCGCGGAAAGCUGCUUAAAGGAACGUGGGAUCUGUAGCUGUGCUGUGUCGAGGCUGCUGAGAUGUCAGCCCGCUGUAAAGAGAAGGACUGUCAUGUUAAUAAGCCCUGAGCAGGGUCCUGGUCCUUCUCAGGCCACUUGCUGUGACACAUUGAGAUGAGCUUAAUGUCGCAUAAUAACAAUCACUUGGAUGGGAAGAAACUUGCGGCUGGUUUUGAACAUUUGCAGACUCAGUUCAAAUUUUUGAUCAACCCAUUGUGGGAGGUCAAAACUUGUGGGCGUCAAAUUUUUGCCACACUUGCUUUAUGGCUCCAGAGAAAUUUUCUGAGGAUUGCCUGUUCAGUGUAAACUGAAGUACAGUGGUGCCUUGAUUUUUGAUUUGUUCCUUGACCACCCACGUAACUCACAAUACUCGUAUCUUUCCCGUUUGAAAUGAACCGAAAUGCCAUUAAUCCAUUCGCAUAAAGUAUGGUGAAUCUGCGUCCACAGAUGCACAGCAUUGCUUACCCAUGUACAGUAUGUGUGUGUUGCUGAAGUGCUUCAGCGAAUCAUUUUCCACUAAAAGUUAAAUUCCUGUCUUGGUGCAAGCCAAUCAAAGGCAGAGGAGGGCGGGUUGUCAUACCAUGAAUACAAUGAACACAAUACUUUUUUCCUUACUCGACACAUUUUCGUUGUUGUUAAUAUUAGUGCACAUAUAUAUAUCAAACUCCAUUAUCAAACAAAAGGUUUUAAACAAACAUAACCUCUAAAAUAUUUGUUAAAUUAAAAUAUGUAAAAUUGUUUGAGACUUCACUGUUGUGUCAAGAUGCCAAACAGAAAAGGGGAAACUCUAACUUUAUUUUUCUUAAGUUAAGCAUUGUAUUUGAACACGGAUAACUUUUUAUUGUUAUUUACUUUCUCUUAUUGUGAAAUGCAGCCCUACUUUUAUUUAGUAAAUGAGAGAACAUUACACAGUUGUGCUCAUAUGUUUGAUUACUAGGGCAGAAUUUGUAAGCUGUGUACAAUUCAUUAUUAUACUCUAAUAUCAUUAUAUCAGUGGCAUUAAAAAAACAACAACAAUACUAUCGUAUAUCGUGAACGUUUUUGGGAAAAUAUUUCGUUCUAAAAAUUUGCUUUCAUGUCAGGCCGAAACAUAUCAUGUAUUGAGAGAGAGCAGGAGCAAUGGAUGACUAAAAUAUUGUAAAAACAGUAUAAAAGAUAGAGUAACAACUGUAAUAAAAAUAUCCAAUAUAGUGGGACUGUGACGCAAGAACCAUGAUGUAGUGGAUGAUUACUGUAUUUGUAUUCCGUGACGAUAAAUUGCAGGGACUCAUUGUUUCCAUGACAUUUGCAUCCAUGGUUACAUAGUGUCCAGUGUAAAAUGAUCCAUGCACUUAUUUGAUGCAAAAAUCAGAAGAAAAAAAAAUGCUGUACAUUGUAUUUUAUUUUAUUUUUUGUUGUUGUUUUUUUGCCGACGUUGCAAGCUGUCGUUUCUGUGAUCAGUAGCUUGCGCUCUGGCAAGAACGAGCCAGAAGAUACUGUAAGUCAAUCAUAACGUGUAUUACUGAAAGGACAACGUAAAUUGACUCGGCCGUACCAUUUCUUUAUUCUGGGGCGAGUGGAACUGCGAAAAGACAAAUAAAUUUGUACGCUGUGUUUUUCUGUCUGUGAUAUGUUAAUUAGCCUGUUAAUUUGGGGUUACUUUAAUAAUAGCACUUUCCUUUCUUGGUGAAUAUUAAUGUCAGAAAAUCAUUAUAACAGUUUUUAUAUCAGUGCAUUGGGAACCCUGCACGUUAUAUUGUAAAUCAAAACAUGAAGAAGAAUGUAACAAUUCAAUUACUUUCAGAAAAUCAAUAUUGGGCUGUUAAAAAAAAGGCAAUGUAUGUGGAAGAUGUAAAAUAUUUACUGUAUGAACUGGAAAAUCUUUAUGAUUUAGCAUUCCUGUGAAUCACUAAACUAAUAUUUUUAUGUAACCACUUUUUUCUGAGGACUGCUUUGCAUGUGUGUUGCAUGGAAUAAACCAACGUCUCUUCACGACCGGUGAAAAGGUUUUUACAUCAGAUUGCGAUUAAGGAUUAGUGUUCACAGGAUCGUUGCAUAUAUGUUGGUGCACUCUCGGAUCAGGACUUCCAAUCAAAGAUGAGGUGAGGUCAUGCUUGUGCUUACAUGGCCUCCUUGUCUGUGAGCCAGCAUGCAAACUGUCUAUCCUCCAACCAUCACCAUAAUGAGGACAAAAACAAACCUGGAGGACACUAUAGAGUGAUUCACCUUUAAAAGCACCUCAGUGCUCUGUGCUUGUUCCAACAUUCUCUGUCCUCUGCGUUCAUGCCAGCUUUGCAUGCCGUGGUCACUGACAGUAUGCGAGCUGUGCAAAGAGUGUAACUCGAAAUCGUA